GGCGCAAGGGUGCGUAACACGUGGGCAAUCUGCCGUGAAGUUUGGGAUAAUCCCGCGAAAGCGGGACUAAUACCGGAUGUGACAAAUUGGGGGCAUCUCUGGUUUGUCAAAGUUGGGGACCGCAAGGCCUGACGCUUCACGAUGAGCCCGCGGCCUAUCAGCUAGUUGGCGGGGUAACGGCCCACCAAGGCGAAGACGGGUAGCUGGUCUGAGAGGACGACCAGCCACACUGGAACUGAGACACGGUCCAGACACCUACGGGUGGCAGCAGUCGAGAAUUUUUCACAAUGGGGGAAACCCUGAUGGAGCGACGCCGCGUGGGGGAUGAAUGGCUUCGGCCCGUAAACCCCUGUCAUUUGCGAGCAAAUCUUAUUAUUUAAAAGAUGAUAAGCUGAUAGUAGCGAAAGAGGAAGGGACGGCUAACUCUGUGCCGGCAGCCGCGGUAAUACAGAGGUCCCGAGCGUUGUUCGGAUUCACUGGGCGUAAAGGGUGCGUAGGUGGUGAGGUGUGUCGGAUGUGAAAUCUCGGAGCUCAACUCC
RNAcentral lists this ribosomal RNA (539 nucleotides) under uncultured Verrucomicrobiota bacterium. RNAcentral's name for it is "bacterial SSU rRNA". It matches the Rfam family "Bacterial small subunit ribosomal RNA", at positions 97 to 616 of the family's 1533-position model. The record is from RNAcentral. Lineage: Bacteria; Pseudomonadati; Verrucomicrobiota.